This 226-nucleotide ribosomal RNA is filed under the name Rosellinia necatrix. RNAcentral describes it as "partial 18S rRNA". It matches the Rfam family "Eukaryotic small subunit ribosomal RNA", at positions 1 to 229 of the family's 1831-position model. The record is from RNAcentral. Lineage: Eukaryota; Fungi; Ascomycota; Sordariomycetes; Xylariales; Xylariaceae.
UACCUGGUUGAUUCUGCCAGUAGUCAUAUGCUUGUCUCAAAGAUUAAGCCAUGCAUGUCUAAGUAUAAGCAAUUAUACCGCGAAACUGCGAAUGGCUCAUUAAAUCAGUUAUCGUUUAUUUGAUAGUACCUUACUACUUGGAUACCUGUGGUAAUUCUAGAGCUAAUACAUGCUGAAAAAUCCCGACUCACGGAGGGAUGUAUUUAUUAGAUUAAAAACCAAUGCC